GCGGGGCUGCGGGGUUCGUCAGGAGCACAUAUUUCCGGGGCCUUAUCGAUCUCAAAGGGAACUGUCCCUGACCAAGCUCCUGGGCUUGGACACACGGUGCCCACCUACGUUGUAGGUUCCCGGGAUCGAGCCUCCAACGGCCAUCGCGGCUCCGCA
RNAcentral lists this non-coding RNA (156 nucleotides) under Ancylobacter vacuolatus. RNAcentral describes it as "6S RNA". It matches the Rfam family "6S / SsrS RNA". From Rfam's summary of the family: E. coli 6S RNA was the first non coding RNA to be sequenced, but its function was unknown until recently. It consists of 184 nucleotides that fold into an extended hairpin structure with a large single-stranded internal bulge. The record is from RNAcentral. Lineage: Bacteria; Pseudomonadati; Pseudomonadota; Alphaproteobacteria; Hyphomicrobiales; Xanthobacteraceae.